UCCCACCCAAACCAAAGGGCCGGUCUCACUCCCACCGUGCACCCCCCAACAGCCCCCAGUCCGUUUCCAGGCGGAGAGGGAUACAGGCCUGAAAACCUGCCCCAGGCUACCCGCCUCCCAGCUGCGAGAGAAAAAGGCUUGGUUCUUCCCCCGCCUGUGGAGUCAGCACCCCGGAUUCGUGCCCUGCCCUAGUUCUGGCCAGGAGGAUUCUCACCCAGUUCAAACUGUUACAACGCUCAGCUAGAGAUUUCCUUCUCCCUGUGGAGUUUUACCCCCUCCUCUCCCGAUGGAUCCCUGUGGUGCCAGCAGGAAUGGGCUGCUCGGGGACCCAGCGAGCUCCGCGGGCCUUUCCGCUGCUUCCUCUACCCCUGUACCUCACUGGGCUCCCCAGACGGACUCAGCUCCAGGUGUCUGUGAACUCAAGAGAAGCCUUUCAUUCUAGACAUAGUAGUUAUUUUCUAAAUCAUCUUUAAACUUAUUUGCUGGAAUAUUGUGGGGGUAAAGUGCAAACUUCCCCUUCACCAUCUGAAGGUUUGCUAAAAAUCAACAGGCAGAAGGCGAAUUAACAGGAGAAAUGGCAUGCCAAUUUGUUUGAUCACAGUUUUACAUGAAGAAUGAAGACCCAAAGACACAUGAGAAAUUGUCCAUUUUUAUGCAACACCAGACCAGGCGAUGCUCUAAGACAGGUACAACAAAGUAUGGACAUGCGUGUAGAAAUACGAGUCAACUAAAGGGUGUGAUCUACUGCUAAUAGGCUGAGUGGGGACACCCAGACUCUUCCUGGCCCCUGUGAGCAGCUUCCUUUCCUUCUGGUGUGGGGCAGGAACUUCUCUGGAAUGGGGAUCUUCUGACCCACAGUCAAACAAGAAUUGGACAGAAGUCACAUCAGGGAGACCAGAGACUAGAGUAUUGCAUCAUAGAGGAAAGACACUGAUGACAAGACCUCAGGGGAGCAGUGGAACUGGAGGCCUGGGAGCUUGGGACGUGUUCUCCGGGUGAAGUUGGCUGGCCAGCUGAUGACCUACACCAGUGCCAUUCACUCCUCAUGUGUCCCCCGGGAAUUCAUAGUGUGUGUCAUCAGGUAAAAGCAACACUACUUUCAGAUGUUUUCUGAUCUCUUUGAGAUCUGGACAACACUACUGUGUACAUAUGGCCAGCAACAAAUUACACUCAAUGAAUAUUUUAGAGAGCAGCAAAGUAAUCAAUUAAAAUGUGGGUAAACAAAAA
RNAcentral lists this long non-coding RNA (1227 nucleotides) under Homo sapiens (human). Its description in RNAcentral is "novel transcript". Lineage: Eukaryota; Metazoa; Chordata; Mammalia; Primates; Hominidae. The record is from RNAcentral.